CCUCAAUAUUUGUACAGUGGUUGGAAUAUCUAAAAGUAUAAAAAGUACUAAUUAUUAUUUACUUUUUAUGGUUGUUUUCAAAAUUAUGCCCUCUAAAUUUACUCUGUUCUUCUGAGGUUAUUAAAAAAAAAAAGUAGUUAUAUUAAAUAAUAUACCAGAGGAGAAUAUGUUGUAAUCUUGUGCAUUGUGGCAGCAACAUAAAUCCCAUUCCUAAGAGAGCUAGCUGUUUAUAAUUAUCUGCUUUAUGUGUACUGCUGCAGGAUGGCUGCACUCAACAAGUAUAUGCAAUGACUUCCUGGGAUGUUCAACAAGUAUAUGCAAUGACUUCCUGGGAUGUUUCUGAAGGAUAUUUGCAAAGGAAGAUGUGUGAAGUGUAGGCCCCUUGCACUAUAUGUGUGGUACAUUUCACUUGUGCCAGAUUGCAGUGUAAGCUCAGAACAUUUAAAGAUCCCAGUUAACAAAGUGGGUUUUUCUUCUCAGAGUCUGGAAAGAGCAGCGAAAGAAAAGGUGGUAGAUCUCGUUCCCGUUCUCGUUCAGAAUCCAGAUCUAGCUCAAAAUCCCGAUCUAGAAGGAAAAGAUCACACUCAAAACACAGAAAUAGAUCUGGCAACAGAUCGCUCUCAAGACACAAGGACAGACGCAGAUCCAGAAGUCCCCUGAAAAAACGGUCUAGAUCUAGGGAAAGGCAGAAAUCAAGAAGUCGCUCUCAUUCUCGGUGAGUUUUGUUCCUAAGAAAUGAUACUGUUCUUCGUAGCACACAGUACAAGGUUUUUGGGAAAAAUCUAACAGAACUUUUAGGUGAUGGCAGAGGAUGGAAUUUCUAAAUCCUUUAGCCUGUCCCUAGGCUUUUUUUGUGGGACAAAAGAAUAGAAAGUAAAUUUUUAUGUUGAGUGUACUGGUUUUGGCUGGGAUUAAUUUUCUUCACAGUAACUCAUAUGGUGCCUAUGGUGGCUAAACCACAACACUGAGGUACUUAAACUUUGAUACCAAAGUCUACUCUACAUUUAUACCAACAUGCAAGCUGAUCAAAAAAUAGGUAAUUUUAAUUGUCAGACUUUAACCAACAGAUUAGGUAUGUUUCGUGUAGCCUGUGCAACGCACAAAAAAGUGGAUGAUGCUACUUCAGCUUUCUCAACAGAUACAGAUUGGAUUCAGGCUGAACUUGAUCCUGCAUUCUGAGAACAUGUAUAAAGUUUUUGUGCAUGAGCUUUUAUUUUUGCCUUUGGCUACUUCAUAUUGGCCAUACACUGCUGUAGGCACAAAUGCAUAUGACUUUUAUGUGGCAUAUUUACAUUUCAGGAUCUAAUACAUCUGUAUUUUACCUAGUCUAUUAAUUUUUAAGUCUGAUUGUCUAAUUAUUGAACUGUGAAAUUUCAGCAGGGUAAUUCCAUGAAUGAUAAUGUAAUUUUCUGAGGAUGAAAUAGUGAAUAUUCACAAAACAAAAGUGCCUAUGAAGGUAGCUUCAUGAAUAGAAGCCUUGGUACUUUUCUUUCUGUUUCAUCUCUGCAGUUCCCCACUUUUCUUUCUGUUUCAUCUCUGCAGUUCCCCUGACUCAUUUAAAGGGAGCUUCAUACUUAGGUGGUGGUCCUGGUUUCAGCUGGGAUAGAGUUAAUUUUCUUUCUAGUAGAUGAUAUAGUGUUGUGUUUUGGAUUCAGCAUGUGAAGAAUGUUGAUAAUACACUGACACUGAUGUUUUCAGUUGUUGCUAAGUAAUGUUUAGUCUAAAGUCAAGGAUAUUUCAGCUUCUCAUGCCCAGCCAGCAAGAAGGCUGGAGGGGCACAAGAAGUUGGGAGGGGACACAGCCAGGGCACCUGACCCAAAGUGUCCAACGGGGUAUUCCAUACCAUGUGAUGUCAGGUCUAGUAUAUAAACUGGGGGGAGUGGGGGUGGGAGUGGGGGGGCCCGUCAGGGACUAACUGGGCAUCAGUCGGAAGGUGGUGAGCAAUUGCAUUGUGCA
Accipiter nisus (Eurasian sparrowhawk) is the source of this 1956-nucleotide long non-coding RNA. The record is from Ensembl. Lineage: Eukaryota; Metazoa; Chordata; Aves; Accipitriformes; Accipitridae.